GCAUCGAUGAAGAACGCAGCAAAGUGCGAUAAUUAAUGUGUAUUGCAGAGCUGUGAACAUUCAGUAUUUGAACGCAACAUGCACUUUCAGAUGAAUAAGCUGGGAGUAUGUCUGUUUGAGGGUAGAGUAACAAGAAUAUAUAAGGUGUGGGUGGAGUGGUGAGUGUUACAUGUGUGUUGUGUGUAAAGUGUAAUACUUGAAAUUGGAGAGGAUUGUUAUUGGAUGUAAUUGCGGGAUAGAAGAAGAGUUCUUUUGGUUGGUGGGGGGCAAUGCUAUAUAUAAUAACAGUCACUAGUAAACAACUACCUCAAAUCAGACAAGAUUACCCGCUGAACUUAAGCAUAUCAAUAAGCGGAGGA
This 359-nucleotide ribosomal RNA is filed under the name uncultured fungus. RNAcentral's name for it is "eukaryotic LSU rRNA". The stretch from base 1 to 125 matches the Rfam family "5.8S ribosomal RNA", at positions 30 to 154 of the family's 154-position model. Lineage: Eukaryota; Fungi. The record is from RNAcentral.